CUGCCCAUAGCAUAGUGGUUAAGGAGCAGGACUCGUGACCGAAAGGUUUUUGGUUCGAUUCCCGUUGGGCAAU
This is a non-coding RNA of Megalops atlanticus (tarpon), 73 nucleotides long. The record is from the annotation of a GenBank genome assembly. Lineage: Eukaryota; Metazoa; Chordata; Actinopteri; Elopiformes; Megalopidae.